GUGACAGAAGAGAGUGAGCACACAUGGUGUUUUCUAGCAUGAUGUUUUACAUGCUUGAAACUAUGUGUGCUCACUGCUCUAUCUGUCAC
This 89-nucleotide microRNA precursor is filed under the name Solanum lycopersicum (tomato). RNAcentral's name for it is "mir-156 microRNA precursor family". It matches the Rfam family "mir-156 microRNA precursor family". Rfam says of the family: This family represents the plant microRNA (miRNA) precursor mir-156. Animal miRNAs are transcribed as ~70nt precursors and subsequently processed by the Dicer enzyme to give a ~22nt product. Lineage: Eukaryota; Viridiplantae; Streptophyta; Magnoliopsida; Solanales; Solanaceae. RNAcentral also lists the same sequence under 1 other name. The record is from Rfam by way of RNAcentral.